GGUUGUAUAGUGUAGUUGGCCUAGCACAUCGGAUUCUGAUUUGUUCAGAACAUUCCGGUAACCCCGGUUCGAAUCCGGGUACGACCU
Non-coding RNA from Echria macrotheca, 87 nucleotides. The record is from the annotation of a GenBank genome assembly. Lineage: Eukaryota; Fungi; Ascomycota; Sordariomycetes; Sordariales; Schizotheciaceae.